This 463-nucleotide ribosomal RNA is filed under the name uncultured bacterium. RNAcentral describes it as "partial 16S ribosomal RNA". It matches the Rfam family "Bacterial small subunit ribosomal RNA", at positions 28 to 507 of the family's 1533-position model. The record is from RNAcentral.
GAUGAACGCUGACAGAAUGCUUAACACAUGCAAGUCUUUGGCGAAGCUGUGCUUGCACAGCCUAGCCAAGGCGGACGGGUGAGUAACGCGUAAGGAACUUGCCCUGCAGUCAGGGAUAACAGACGGAAACGACUGAUAAGACCUGGUAAAGUCAGGCGGACUCAUGUCCAGCCUGAUGAAAAGAGAUGCUGCAGGAGAGCCUUGCGUCCUAUUAGCUUGUUGGUGGGGUAACGGCCCACCAAGGCGAUGAUAGGUAGCCGGCCUGAGAGGGUGGACGGCCACAAGGGGACUGGGAUACGGCCCUUACUCCUACGGGAGGCAGCAGUGGGGAAUAUUGGACAAUGGGGGCAACCCUGAUCCAGCAAUUCUGUGUGCACGAUGAAGGUUUUCGGAUUGUAAAGUGCUUUCAGCAGGGAAGAAAAAAAUGACGGUACCUGCAGAAGAAGCGACGGCUAAAUACGUG